ACCGCCAUUACUGACAAUCAAAGACCUUCCCCUCGUGCUAUCUAUCCCCGCAGUAUUUAUACAUUGCGCUAAAGAAAGAAAGAAAUCACUACUGAUAAGAAAGAUGGCAGCCAAGGCAUUCGCAGCCGUGGUGGUUCUCCUCGUGCUCGCCGCUGGUGAGCUUGCGGCGGCGGCAUCAAGCCGUCCGCCGGUUUCUACCCUGCCGCAACCAUCUUCUGCUCCUGCUCAGGCCACGGCGGCGGUGGCCAUGGAAGAAGCUUCGGCGCUAGCUACCACUCGUCGGCACACCAGGAUCGCUGGAGAGGAAGGAAGGAGUUGGGGCGGCGAAGCAGAAGACGGGAAAUCCAUUUCUGUCCACAGCCUCCCGCCGGAGCGCGUGCUUCCGACCCUUAUCCCGCCUACUUCCAAGUAAACCCCCUCAUGCUGUGCAAAUAUACAGUCCGGCCAAGCUGAUGAACCCGAGGAAGGAUAAAUAAAUUGUUGAGCGGUCAUAUAUCAUGCAAUUCAUCCCUGGGAAGAAUGGCCCGCUGCUGAAUUUGUUGUUUUCCAUGAGUGGUGUAAUUAAAGGGUGUAACGUAUUGGUAUGUAUAUUACUGCUUGAUCCUGAAACUGUCGUGCAGAGGAACACAUAGAA
This is a long non-coding RNA of Brachypodium distachyon (stiff brome), 634 nucleotides long. RefSeq lists it as uncharacterized. The record is from RefSeq and is a predicted model, not a curated record. The transcript has 2 exons. NCBI's taxonomy places the organism in Eukaryota, Viridiplantae, Streptophyta, Magnoliopsida, Poales, Poaceae.